RNAcentral lists this ribosomal RNA (844 nucleotides) under uncultured bacterium. RNAcentral's name for it is "bacterial SSU rRNA". It matches the Rfam family "Bacterial small subunit ribosomal RNA", at positions 8 to 844 of the family's 1533-position model. The record is from RNAcentral.
AGAGUUUGAUCCUGGCUCAGGAUGAACGCUAGCUACAGGCUUAACACAUGCAAGUCGAGGGGCAUCAUGGAGUUUGCUUGCAAACUCUGAUGGCGACCGGCGCACGGGUGAGUAACGCGUAUCCAACCUUCCCUAUAGUAGUGGAUAGCCCGGCGAAAGUCGGAUUAAUACACUAUGUUAUUCAACGAGGACAUCUGAAAUGAAUCAAAGGCUUGCCGCUAUAGGAUGGGGAUGCGUCUGAUUAGAUAGUAGGCGGGGUAACGGCCCACCUAGUCUACGAUCAGUAGGGGUUCUGAGAGGAAGGUCCCCCACAUUGGAACUGAGACACGGUCCAAACUCCUACGGGAGGCAGCAGUGAGGAAUAUUGGUCAAUGGGCGAGAGCCUGAACCAGCCAAGUAGCGUGCAGGAUGACGGCCCUAUGGGUUGUAAACUGCUUUUAUGCGGGGAUAAAGUUCACUACGUGUAGUGUUUUGUAGGUACCGCAUGAAUAAGGACCGGCUAAUUCCGUGCCAGCAGCCGCGGUAAUACGGAAGGUCCGGGCGUUAUCCGGAUUUAUUGGGUUUAAAGGGAGCGCAGGCCGGAGGUCAAGCGUGACGUGAAAUGUAGCCGCUCAACGGCUGAACUGCGUCGCGAACUGGCUUUCUUGAGUGAGUUCGAUGUGGGCGGAAUUCGUGGUGUAGCGGUGAAAUGCUUAGAUAUCACGAAGAACUCCGAUUGCGAAGGCAGCCCACAAGGCCUUUACUGACGCUAAAGCUCGAAGGUGCGGGUAUCGAACAGGAUUAGAUACCCUGGUAGUCCGCACGGUAAACGAUGGAUGCCCGCUUGUUGCGAUAUACUGUGAGC